This 253-nucleotide ribosomal RNA is filed under the name uncultured bacterium. RNAcentral's name for it is "partial 16S ribosomal RNA". It matches the Rfam family "Bacterial small subunit ribosomal RNA", at positions 524 to 776 of the family's 1533-position model. The record is from RNAcentral.
UACGUAGGGGGCUAGCGUUGUCCGGAAUCAUUGGGCGUAAAGCGCGUGUAGGCGGUCCGGUAAGUCCGCUGUGAAAGUCGGGGGCUCAACCCUCGAAUGCCGGUGGAUACUGUCGGGCUAGAGUGCGGAGGAGGCGAGUGGAAUUCCUGGUGUAGCGGUGAAAUGCGCAGAUAUCAGGAGGAACACCUAUUGCGAAGGCAGCUCGCUGGGACGUGACUGACGCUGAGACGCGAAAGCGUGGGGAGCAAACAGG